RNAcentral lists this ribosomal RNA (307 nucleotides) under uncultured bacterium. Its description in RNAcentral is "partial 16S ribosomal RNA". It matches the Rfam family "Bacterial small subunit ribosomal RNA", at positions 506 to 807 of the family's 1533-position model. The record is from RNAcentral.
AGACAGCAGUCGCCGCGGGAAUACGGAGGGUGCAAGCGUUAAUCGGAAUUACUGGGCGUAAAGCGCACGCAGGCGGUCUGACAAGUCAGAUGUGAAAUCCCCGGGCUUAACCUGGGAACUGCAUUUGAAACUGUCAGGCUGGAGUCUUGUAGAGGGGGGUGGAAUUCCAGGUGUAGCGGUGAAAUGCGUAGAGAUCUGGAGGAAUACCGGUGGCGAAGGCGGCCCCCUGGACAAAGACUGACGCUCAGGUGCGAAAGCGUGGGGAGCAAACAGGAUUAGAUACCCCUGUAGUCCCUGUCUCUUAUAC